Molecule: ribosomal RNA, 495 nt
Filed under: uncultured bacterium
Lineage: Bacteria
Description: partial 16S ribosomal RNA
Rfam family: Bacterial small subunit ribosomal RNA
Source: RNAcentral
AUUGAACGCUGGCGGAAUGCUUUACACAUGCAAGUCGAACGGUAGAGGGGGCAACCCCUCGAGAGUGGCGAAUGGGUGAGUAAUGUAUCGGAACGUGCCCAGUCGUGGGGGAUAACGUAGUGAAAAUUACGCUAAUACCGCAUACGAUCUAUGGAUGAAAGCGGGGAUCGCAAGACCUCGCGCGAUUGGAGCGGCCGAUAUCGGAUUAGGUAGUUGGUGGGGUAAAGGCUCACCAAGCCAACGAUCUGUAGCUGGGCUGAGAGGACGACCAGCCACACUGGAACUGAGACACGUUCCAGACUCCUACGGGAGGCAGCAGUGGGGAAUUUUGGACAAUGGACGAAAGUCUGAUCCAGCGAUUCCGCGUGAAGGAUGAAGGCCCUCGGGUUGUAAACUGCUUUGGUACGGAACGAAAAGGUUUCCAUUAAUACUGGGAGCUCAUGACGGUACCGUAAGAAUAAGCACCGGCUAACUACGUGCCAGCCGCCGCCGUAA